AGUGAACGCUGGCGGUAGGCCUAACACAUGCAAGUCGAACGGCAGCACAGUAAGAGCUUGCUCUUACGGGUGGCGAGUGGCGGACGGGUGAGGAAUACAUCGGAAUCUACUUUUUCGGGGGGGAUAACGUAGGGAAACUUACGCUAAUACCGCAUACGACCUACGGGUGAAAGCAGGGGAUCUUCGGACCUUGCGCGAUUGAAUGAGCCGAUGUCGGAUUAGCUAGUUGGCGGGGUAAAGGCCCACCAAGGCGACGAUCCGUAGCUGGUAUGAGAGGAUGAUCAGCCACACUGGAACUGAGACACGGUCGAGACUCCUACGCGAGGCAGCAGUGGGGAAUAUUGGACAAUGGGCGCAAGCCUGAUCCAGCCAUACCGCGUGGGUGAAGAAGGCCUUCGGGUUGUAAAGCCCUUUUGUUGGGAAAGAAAAGCAGCAGGUUAAUCCCCCGCUGUUCUGACGGUACCCAAAGAAUAAGCACCGGCUAACUUCGUG
Molecule: ribosomal RNA, 492 nt
Filed under: uncultured bacterium
Lineage: Bacteria
Description: partial 16S ribosomal RNA
Rfam family: Bacterial small subunit ribosomal RNA
Source: RNAcentral